GGGGCCUUAGCUCAGCUGGGAGAGCGCCUGCCUUGCACGCAGGAGGUCUCUCCCAGCUGAGCUAAGGCCCCA
Molecule: transfer RNA, 72 nt
Filed under: Bacillus safensis
Lineage: Bacteria; Bacillati; Bacillota; Bacilli; Caryophanales; Bacillaceae
Description: tRNA-Ala
Rfam family: tRNA
About the family: Transfer RNA (tRNA) molecules are approximately 80 nucleotides in length. Their secondary structure includes four short double-helical elements and three loops (D, anti-codon, and T loops). Further hydrogen bonds mediate the characteristic L-shaped molecular structure. tRNAs have two regions of fundamental functional importance: the anti-codon, which is responsible for specific mRNA codon recognition, and the 3' end, to which the tRNAs corresponding amino acid is attached (by aminoacyl-tRNA synthetases). tRNAs cope with the degeneracy of the genetic code in two manners: having more than one tRNA (with a specific anti-codon) for a particular amino acid; and 'wobble' base-pairing, i.e. permitting non-standard base-pairing at the 3rd anti-codon position.
Source: RNAcentral